This 449-nucleotide ribosomal RNA is filed under the name uncultured bacterium. RNAcentral's name for it is "partial 16S ribosomal RNA". It matches the Rfam family "Bacterial small subunit ribosomal RNA", at positions 29 to 523 of the family's 1533-position model. The record is from RNAcentral.
AACGAACGCUGGCGGCAGGCUUAACACAUGCAAGUCGAACGAGAUCUUCGGAUCUAGUGGCAGACGGGUGAGGAACACGUGGGAACAUCCCUUUCAGUUCGGAAUAACGUUGGGAAACUAACGCUAAUACCGGAUACGUCUUUCGGGAGAAAGAUUUAUCGCUGAAAGAUUGGCCCGCGUCUGAUUAGCUAGUUGGUGAGGUAACGGCUCACCAAGGCUACGAUCAGUAGCUGAUCUGAGAGGGUGAUCAGCCACAUUGGGACUGAGACACGGCCCAAACUCCUACGGGAGGCAGCAGUGGGGAAUAUUGGACAAUGGGCGCAAGCCUGAUCCAGCCAGGCCGCGUGAGUGAUGACGGCCUUCGGGUUGUAAAGCUCUUUUGUCCGGGAAGAUAAUGACUGUACCGGAAGAAUAAGCCCCGGCAAACUUCGUGCCAGCCGCCGCCGUAA